RNAcentral lists this ribosomal RNA (493 nucleotides) under uncultured bacterium. Its description in RNAcentral is "partial 16S ribosomal RNA". It matches the Rfam family "Bacterial small subunit ribosomal RNA", at positions 30 to 523 of the family's 1533-position model. The record is from RNAcentral.
AUUGAACGCUGGCGGCAUGCUUUACACAUGCAAGUCGAACGGUAACAGGUUAAGCUGACGAGUGGCGAACGGGUGAGUAAUGCAUCGGAACGUGCCCGGUCGUGGGGGAUAACACUUCGAAAGAAGUGCUAAUACCGCAUACGAUCUGAGGAUGAAAGCGGGGGACCGUAAGGCCUCGCGCGAUCGGAGCGGCCGAUGUCAGAUUAGAUAGUUGGUGGGGUAAAGGCUCACCAAGCCGACGAUCUGUAGCUGGUCUGAGAGGACGACCAGCCACACUGGGACUGAGACACGGCCCAGACUCCUACGGGAGGCAGCAGUGGGGAAUUUUGGACAAUGGGCGAAAGCCUGAUCCAGCAAUGCCGCGUGCAGGAAGAAGGCCUUCGGGUUGUAAACUGCUUUUGUACGGAGCGAAAAGGCUCUCUCUAAUACAGGGGGCUCAUGACGGUACCGUAAGAAUAAGCACCGGCUAACUACGUGCCAGCAGCCACGGUAA